Molecule: ribosomal RNA, 413 nt
Filed under: uncultured bacterium
Lineage: Bacteria
Description: bacterial SSU rRNA
Rfam family: Bacterial small subunit ribosomal RNA
Source: RNAcentral
GUGCCAGCCGCCGCGGUAAUACGUAGGGGGCGAGCGUUGUCCGGAAUGAUUGGGCGUAAAGGGCGCGUAGGCGGCCAUGCAAGUCUGGAGUGGAAGUCCAUCUUUCAAGGGUGGAAUUGCUUUGGAAACUGUGUGGCUGGAGUGCAGGAGAGGUUAUCGGAAUUCCCGGUGUAGCGGUGAAAUGCGUAGAGAUCGGGAGGAACAUCAGUGGCGAAGGCGGGUAACUGGACUGCAACUGACGCUGAGGCGCGAAAGUGUGGGGAGCAAACAGGAUUAGAUACCCUGGUAGUCCACACCGUAAACGAUGAAUGCUAGGUGUAGGUGGUAUCGACCCCAUCUGUGCCGUAGUAAACACAAUAAGCAUUCCGCCUGGGGAGUACGGUCGCAAGAUUAAAACUCAAAGAAAUUGACGG